GAUGAACGCUGGCGGCGUGCCUAUACAUGCAAGUCGAGCGGACAGACGGGGAGCUUGCUCCUCUGAAGGUAGCGGCGGACGGGGGGGGAAAAAGUGGGUAACCUACCUAUAAGAAUGGGGUAAAUUCGGGAAAACGGAGCUAAUAACGGGUAAAAAAUUUAACCGCAUGGGUCAAUUGUGAAAAACGGGUUUGCUUGUAAUUAUUGAUGGAUCCGCGCCGCAUUAGCUAGUUGGUAAGGUAACGGCUUACCAAGGCAACGAUGCGUAGCCGACCUGAGAGGGUGAUCGGCCACACUGGAACUGAGACACGGUCCAGACUCCUACGGGAGGCAGCAGUAGGGAAUCUUCCGCAAUGGGCGAAAGCCUGACGGAGCAACGCCGCGUGAGUGAUGAAGGUCUUCGGAUCGUAAAACUCUGUUAUUAGGGAAGAACAAAUGUGUAAGUAACUAUGCACGUCUUGACGGUACCUAAUCAGAAAGCCACGGCUAACUACGUG
This 496-nucleotide ribosomal RNA is filed under the name uncultured bacterium. RNAcentral describes it as "partial 16S ribosomal RNA". It matches the Rfam family "Bacterial small subunit ribosomal RNA", at positions 28 to 507 of the family's 1533-position model. The record is from RNAcentral.